RNAcentral lists this transfer RNA (73 nucleotides) under Macroxyela ferruginea. Its description in RNAcentral is "tRNA-Cys". Lineage: Eukaryota; Metazoa; Arthropoda; Insecta; Hymenoptera; Xyelidae. The record is from RNAcentral.
AGUCUUAUAUUUAAUAUAUAUAUAUAAUUUUAAAUUGCAAAUUUAAAGUAGUAAAAAUAAUUUACUAAGGCUU